RNAcentral lists this ribosomal RNA (497 nucleotides) under uncultured bacterium. RNAcentral describes it as "partial 16S ribosomal RNA". It matches the Rfam family "Bacterial small subunit ribosomal RNA", at positions 28 to 507 of the family's 1533-position model. The record is from RNAcentral.
GAUGAACGCUGGCGGCGUGCCUAAUACAUGCAAGUCGAGCGAACAGACGAGGAGCUUGCUCCUCUGACGUUAGCGGCGGACGGGUGAGUAACACGUGGAUAACCUACCUAUAAGACUGGGAUAACUUCGGGAAACCGGAGCUAAUACCGGAUAAUAUAUUGAACCGCAUGGUUCAAUAGUGAAAGACGGUUUUGCUGUCACUUAUAGAUGGAUCCGCGCCGCAUUAGCUAGUUGGUAAGGUAACGGCUUACCAAGGCAACGACGCGUAGCCGACCUGAGAGGGUGAUCGGCCAGACUGGAACUGAGACACGGUCCAGACUCCUACGGGAGGCAGCAGUAGGGAAUCUUCCGCAAUGGGCGAAAGCCUGACGGAGCAACGCCGCGUGAGUGAUGAAGGUCUUCGGAUCGUAAAACUCUGUUAUUAGGGAAGAACAAAUGUGUAAGUAACUAUGCACGUCUUGACGGUACCUAAUCAGAAAGCCACGGCUAACUACGUG